Molecule: long non-coding RNA, 413 nt
Organism: Penaeus monodon (black tiger shrimp)
Lineage: Eukaryota; Metazoa; Arthropoda; Malacostraca; Decapoda; Penaeidae
Exons: 2
Source: RefSeq, a predicted model, not a curated record
CUCGAAUCCUGUGGUCGACUAAGUCACUAGCCAAGAGAAACGAGUCAGUACGUUCUGAAAUGCAGUCUACACCAACGAGGGUCGGUCUUCCGAGACGCCCUUCUUCUGUGCUGACAUUCACCGCCAUCCCACGAAUGAAACUGAAUGGUCACAUAACUACCCCAGGAACUUAGAGCUGAACUGCAGACGUUUAUUGUCCCCAGCAUAUUUAUAUCUCAUAUCGGUCUCUUGGAAAGUAUGUUGAUCUGUGCAUACGAGUCAUCUAUAUUUGCAUUUUUAUUGGAAGUGUGAGUUACCUAAAGAGGUAUCUUUUAUUUCGAGAUAUAUACAUUUUUUUGUUAAUCCAUGUUUAUGUAUGUUUAACCUAUGUUUACUUUUCUUUGAAUUGCAGUUCAAUAAAUUUUAAAAGGUUU